CGAACGGGUGAGUAACACGUAGAUAAUCUGCCCUCAAGACGAGGAUAACUGUUGGAAACGAUAGCUAAUACUGGAUAGGUAUAUAGGAGGCAUCUCUUAUAUAUUAAAGGACCACUGGUAUACUUGAGGAUGAAUCUGCGGCGCAUUAGUUAGUUGGUGAGGUAAUGGCUCACCAAGACGAUGAUGCGUAGCCGGACUGAGAGGUUGAACGGCCACAUUGGGACUGAGACACGGCCCAAACUCC
This 244-nucleotide ribosomal RNA is filed under the name uncultured bacterium. RNAcentral describes it as "partial 16S ribosomal RNA". It matches the Rfam family "Bacterial small subunit ribosomal RNA", at positions 99 to 339 of the family's 1533-position model. The record is from RNAcentral.